GACGUAGGGUGCGAGCGUUGUCCGGAUUUAUUGGGCGUAAAGAGCUCGUAGGCGGCUCGUCGCGUCGACCGUGAAAACCCGCGGCUUAACUGCGGGCUUGCGGUUGAUACGGGCGGGCUAGAGUUCGGUAGGGGAGACUGGAAUUCCUGGUGUAGCGGUGAAAUGCGCAGAUAUCAGGAGAAACACCGGUGGCGAAGGCGGUUCUCUGGGCAUUACCUGACGCUGGAGGAGCGAAAGUGUGGGGAGCGAACAGG
RNAcentral lists this ribosomal RNA (254 nucleotides) under uncultured bacterium. RNAcentral's name for it is "partial 16S ribosomal RNA". It matches the Rfam family "Bacterial small subunit ribosomal RNA", at positions 524 to 776 of the family's 1533-position model. The record is from RNAcentral.